Molecule: ribosomal RNA, 578 nt
Filed under: uncultured bacterium
Lineage: Bacteria
Description: bacterial SSU rRNA
Rfam family: Bacterial small subunit ribosomal RNA
Source: RNAcentral
CUGGCGGCGUGCCUAACACAUGCAAGUCGAACGAGAAAGUGGAGCAAUCCAUGAGUACAGUGGCGUACGGGUGAGUAACACGUGACUAACCUACCCUCGAGUGGGGAAUAACUUCGGGAAACCGAGGCUAAUACCGCAUAAUGUCUACGGACCAAAUGCGUAAGCAGCUCGAGGAGGGGGUCGCGGCUGAUUAGCUUGUUGGCGGGGUAACGGCCCACCAAGGCAAUGAUCAGUAGCCGGCCUGAGAGGGCGCACGGCCACACUGGAACUGAAACACGGUCCAGACUCCUACGGGAGGCAGCAGUGGGGAAUUUUGCGCAAUGGGGGAAACCCUGACGCAGCAACGCCGCGUGGAGGAUGAAGCCCCUUGGGGUGUAAACUCCUUUCGAUCGGGACGAUUAUGACGGUACCGGAUGAAGAAGCACCGGCUAACUCUGUGCCAGCAGCCGCGGUAAUACAGAGGGUGCAAGCGUUGUUCGGAAUUAUUGGGCGUAAAGGGUGCGUACGCGGUGCGGUAAGUCUUCUGUGAAACCUCCGGGCUUUACUCGGAGCCUGCAGGGGAAACUGCCGUGCUGGAG